RNAcentral lists this ribosomal RNA (583 nucleotides) under uncultured bacterium. RNAcentral's name for it is "partial 16S ribosomal RNA". It matches the Rfam family "Bacterial small subunit ribosomal RNA", at positions 355 to 1375 of the family's 1533-position model. The record is from RNAcentral.
UGGGGAAUUUUGGACAAUGGGCGAAAGCCUGAUCCAGCAAUGCCGCGUGUGUGAAGAAGGCCUUCGGGUUGUAAAGCACUUUUGUCCGGAAAGAAAUCCUUGGCUCUAAUACAGUCGGGGGAUGACGGUACCGGAAGAAUAAGCACCGGCUAACUACGUGCCAGCAGCCGCGGUAAUACGUAGGGUGCAAGCGUUAAUCGGAAUUACUGGGCGUAAAGCGUGCGCAGGCGGUUUGCUAAGACCGAUGUGAAAUCCCCGGGCUCAACCUGGGAACUGCAUUGGUGACUGGCAGGCUAGAGUAUGGCAGAGGGGGGUAGAAUUCCACGUGUAGCAGUGAAAUGCGUAGAGAUGUGGAGGAAUACCGAUGGCGAAGGCAGCCCCCUGGGCCAAUACUGACGCUCAUGUACGAAAGCGUGGGAGCAAACAGGAUUAGAUACCCUGGUAGUCCACGCCCUAAACGAUGUCAACUAGUUGUUGGGAUUCAUUUCCUUAGUAACGUAGCUAACGCGUGAAGUUGACCGCCUGGGGAGUACGGUCGCAAGAUUAAAACUCAAAUGAAUUGACGGGGUCAUAGCUGUUUCCU